Molecule: transfer RNA, 75 nt
Filed under: Dipodomys ordii (Ord's kangaroo rat)
Lineage: Eukaryota; Metazoa; Chordata; Mammalia; Rodentia; Heteromyidae
Rfam family: tRNA
About the family: Transfer RNA (tRNA) molecules are approximately 80 nucleotides in length. Their secondary structure includes four short double-helical elements and three loops (D, anti-codon, and T loops).
Source: Rfam by way of RNAcentral
GGGGGUGUAGCUUAGGUAGUAGAGAGCACCUGCCUACCAAGCACAAGGUCCUGAGUUCAAUCCCCAGUAUCACCA